RNAcentral lists this ribosomal RNA (275 nucleotides) under uncultured prokaryote. RNAcentral's name for it is "partial 16S ribosomal RNA". It matches the Rfam family "Bacterial small subunit ribosomal RNA", at positions 524 to 798 of the family's 1533-position model. The record is from RNAcentral.
CACGUAGGAGGCAAACGUUAUCCGGAUUUAUUGGGCGUAAAGCGCGUGUAGGUGGUUUUGUAAGUAGGGCGUGAAAGCUCCUGGCUCAACCGGGAGAGGCCGUUCUAUACUGCAGAGCUAGAGGAUGGUAGAGGGAGGUGGAAUUCCAGGUGUAGCGGUGGAAUGCGCAGAUAUCUGGAGGAACACCAGUGGCGAAGGCGGCCUCCUGGACCAUUCCUGACACUCAGACGCGAAAGCUAGGGUAGCAAAUGGGAUUAGAUACCCGGGUAGUCCCU